RNAcentral lists this ribosomal RNA (406 nucleotides) under uncultured bacterium. RNAcentral's name for it is "partial 16S ribosomal RNA". It matches the Rfam family "Bacterial small subunit ribosomal RNA", at positions 30 to 526 of the family's 1533-position model. The record is from RNAcentral.
AUUGAACGCUGGCGGCAGGCUUAACACAUGCAAGUCGAACGAGUGGCGGACGGGUGAGUAAUUUCUGGGAAACUGCCUGAUGGAGGGGGAUAACUACUGGAACCGGUAGCUAAUACCGCAUCCCAUCGGAUGUGCCCAGAUGGGAUUAGCUAGUGGGUGGGGUAAAGGCUCACCUAGGCGACGAUCCCUAGCUGGUCUGAGAGGAUGACCAGCCACCCUGGAACUGAGACACGGUCCAGACUCCUACGGUAGGCAGCAGUGGGGAAUAUUGCACAAUGGGCGCAAGCCUGAUGCAGCCAUGCCGCGUGUAUGAAGAAGGCCUUCGGGUUGUAAAGUUCUUUCUGCGGGGAGGCGUUACCCGCAGAAGAAGCACCGGCUAACGCCGUGCCAGCAGCCGCGGUAAGAC